UGGGGAAUAUUGCACAAUGGAGGGAACUCUGAUGCAGCGACGCCGCGUGAACGAAGAAGGCUUUCGAGUCAUAAAGUUCUUUUAUAUGGGAAGAUAAUGACGGUACCAUAAGAAAAAGCCCCGGCUAACUACGUGCCAGCAGCCGCGGUAAUACGUAGGGGGCUAGCGUUGUCCGGAAUCACUGGGCGUAAAGGGUUCGCAGGCGGAAAUGCAAGUCAGGUGUAAAAGGCAGUAGCUUAACUACUGUAAGCAUUUGAAACUGCAUAUCUUGAGAAGAGUAGAGGUAAGUGGAAUUUUUAGUGUAGCGGUGAAAUGCGUAGAUAUUAAAAAGAAUACCGGUGGCGAAGGCGACUUACUGGGCUCAUUCUGACGCUGAGGAACGAAAGCGUGGGUAGCAAACAGG
Molecule: ribosomal RNA, 403 nt
Filed under: bacterium
Lineage: Bacteria
Also listed under: 1 other name
Description: partial 16S ribosomal RNA
Rfam family: Bacterial small subunit ribosomal RNA
Source: RNAcentral